AACGAACGCUGGCGGCAUGCCUAACACAUGCAAGUCGAACGAGACCUUCGGGUCUAGUGGCGCACGGGUGCGUAACGCGUGGGAACCUGCCCUUAGGUUCGGAAUAACUCCCCGAAAGGGGUGCUAAUACCGGAUAAUGUCUUCGGACCAAAGAUUUAUCGCCUUUGGAUGGGCCCGCGUUGGAUUAGCUAGUUGGUAGGGUAAAAGCCUACCAAGGCGACGAUCCAUAGCUGGUCUGAGAGGAUGAUCAGCCACACUGGGACUGAGACACGGCCCAGACUCCUACGGGAGGCAGCAGUGGGGAAUAUUGGACAAUGGGCGAAAGCAUGAUCCAGCAAUGCCGCGUGAGUGAUGAAGGCCUUAGGGUUGUAAAGCUCUUUUACCCGGGAUGAUAAUGACAGUACCGGGAGAAUAGGCACCGGCUAACUCCGUG
This 433-nucleotide ribosomal RNA is filed under the name uncultured bacterium. RNAcentral's name for it is "partial 16S ribosomal RNA". It matches the Rfam family "Bacterial small subunit ribosomal RNA", at positions 29 to 507 of the family's 1533-position model. The record is from RNAcentral.